Molecule: ribosomal RNA, 501 nt
Filed under: uncultured bacterium
Lineage: Bacteria
Description: partial 16S ribosomal RNA
Rfam family: Bacterial small subunit ribosomal RNA
Source: RNAcentral
AUUGAACGCUGGCGGCAGGCUUAACACAUGCAAGUCGAGCGGGGGAAGGUAGCUUGCUACCGGACCUAGCGGCGGACGGGUGAGUAAUGCUUAGGAAUCUGCCUAUUAGUGGGGGACAACAUCUCGAAAGGGAUGCUAAUACCGCAUACGUCCUACGGGAGAAAGCAGGGGAUCUUCGGACCUUGCGCUAAGAGAUGAGCCUAAGUCGGAUUAGCUAGUUGGUGGGGUAAAGGCCUACCAAGGCGACGAUCUGUAGCGGGUCUGAGAGGAUGAUCCGCCACACUGGGACUGAGACACGGCCCAGACUCCUACGGGAGGCAGCAGUGGGGAAUAUUGGACAAUGGGGGGAACCCUGAUCCAGCCAUGCCGCGUGUGUGAAGAAGGCCUUAUGGUUGUAAAGCACUUUAAGCGAGGAGGAGGCUAUUCUAGUUAAUACCUAGGGAUAGUGGACGUUACUCGCAGAAUAAGCACCGGCUAACUCUGUGCCAGCCGCCGCGGUAA